RNAcentral lists this long non-coding RNA (539 nucleotides) under Panax ginseng (ginseng). RNAcentral's name for it is "long non-coding RNA (PGIN_LNC013927)". Lineage: Eukaryota; Viridiplantae; Streptophyta; Magnoliopsida; Apiales; Araliaceae. The record is from RNAcentral.
ACACGUUACAACUUACAGGACUCAAUUUCGACUUACGGAGGCCGAGUUAUCAGUCUGUAGGCAAAACUGACCAAUACUUAAGCAAAAAGUCAAAAAAGUGGCCGAAACUCGCCUCGGCCAUCGUAACGACACGCAAACACAUACAUAGCAUCACGUAGGUAUUUGGCACAAAUUAAAACUUACGAGACUCGAUUCCAACAGACGGAGGCCAAGUUAUCAGCCCGUAGGUAAAACUGACCAAUAGUUAGGUAAAAAGUCAAAAAAGAGGCCAAAACUAACCUUGGCUGUAGUAACGACACGCAAACACAUACAUAGCACCACGUAGGUAUUUGACACGUGUUAUAACUUACGGGACUCGAUUCCGACUUACGGAGGCCGAGUUAUCAGCCCGUAGGCAAAACUGACCAACACUUAUGCAAAAAGUCGAAAAAGAUGCCAAAAACCAGUCUCGACCGUCGUAAUGAGACGCAAACUAAUACAUAGCACCGCGUAGGAAUUAGGCACGCGUUAUAAUUUACAGGACUCGAUUUUGACUUACG